This 871-nucleotide long non-coding RNA is filed under the name Nicotiana tabacum (common tobacco). RNAcentral describes it as "long non-coding RNA (NTAB_LNC019646)". The record is from RNAcentral. Lineage: Eukaryota; Viridiplantae; Streptophyta; Magnoliopsida; Solanales; Solanaceae.
CCGCCAGGACCGGCCCAGGCCCGCCUGCCGGUCCCGGGCUCGUGGGCUCAACCAUGGAGACCAGCCCGUGACGGGCUCAGGAGGCCCACCAAGACCGGCCCACCCAGGACCGGCCCACCAGGCCCACCAGGCCCGUUAGGACCGCGGGCCCGGUCCGGUCCGGUUCAGGCCCGGCCCACCGGUAGCAUUAACUAUGACCAAGAACAAGAAGAUACAAAAUGGACAAACACCCGGUCAUUCCAAAUUUGGGACAAAAACAUACGAAAAUUUAUUACAUUAUGUUUAUCCUGGAUCAGUAUUGAUGCAUCCAAUGAUCCAAAGCUCGUACAGUGAAGUGUAUGUGUAACACUUUUUUUCGCCUUACGUAUAAACUAAUAAUAUCAAAAGUCUAAUGAGUUUACUUUUAAAACAUCGAAGAUUAAGUUUAAGCCCAUCAAGCUUAAAUCUUAGAUCCGCUACUGCCUGCGGGAAAACAUGUCGAUUAAGGCGAACCAUUGUGUGACUGAGAAUUGAUAGGAGAAGAGCAGCAUCUGCAACAAGAUCCUGGUGGUGGAGGUUGGCAACACACACAAGCAGGACAUAUAGGUCUCCUCACAAGUACUUCUGCAUAUUUGAAUCCGAUAAUUGAACAAAAAAACAGCCAAAAGAAACAGAGUACAAUGUUUAUUGAUGUAUAUGUAUCAUUUAAUUACCUCUGUACACAUUGGAACGAGCAGCAACGCCUUCUUGGAUUCCAGGAGUUAAAAUUAAACCUAUGAAAACAAGGAACAUGACUAUAAUAGAUCUGGGAAUUAUGGUUGCCAUGGUGUAAUGAGAAGAAUAGCUAGAAAUUAGCCUUUAAUUAGAUGAAUUAAUGAACAAGUAGUAGUAG